This 275-nucleotide ribosomal RNA is filed under the name uncultured bacterium. Its description in RNAcentral is "partial 16S ribosomal RNA". It matches the Rfam family "Bacterial small subunit ribosomal RNA", at positions 399 to 691 of the family's 1533-position model. The record is from RNAcentral.
GCGUGAGCGAUGAAGGCCUUAGGGUUGUAAAGCUCUUUCACCGGUGACGAUAAUGACGGUAGCCGGAGAAGAAGCCCCGGCUAACUCCGUGCCAGCAGCCGCGGUAAUACGGAGGGGGCUAGCGUUGUUCGGAAUUACUGGGCGUAAAGCGCACGUAGGCGGACCGUUAAGUCGGGGGUGAAAUCCCGGGGCUCAACCCCGGAACUGCCUCCGAUACUGGCGGUCUUGAGUUCGAGAGAGGCGGGUGGAAUUCCGAGUGUAGAGGUGAAAUUCGU